RNAcentral lists this long non-coding RNA (1058 nucleotides) under Betta splendens (Siamese fighting fish). Its description in RNAcentral is "lncRNA (ENSBSLG00000009374.1)". Lineage: Eukaryota; Metazoa; Chordata; Actinopteri; Anabantiformes; Osphronemidae. The record is from RNAcentral.
UCUGUGGAGUCGAUAACAAGAAGAGAUAGGAUCCAGAUACAUGUGCAGAGAGAAAGCUUUCCUUUACCUAACAACUCCCCAUUCCUUAUCAGAUGAACAGGAGGAGAGGCCUUGACAUUAUCGAGAAAGAAGGAAUGGCUAAGAGCAGCGGAACUCGGAUAAGAGGCCGGAGACGUCCUGGGAGAAGGAUCAGUGUAGCAAAAACAGCAACUGUCUGCAUGUAUGGAGGCGUGCGCGCUGAUCGGGAUCGGAUGGGCGCUCAAACAGAGGAUCAUCUCCUUGGAUGUACUGUACAGGCCCCCUCUCCAUUCUCCAGCCCCCCCGGUCUCCCAUCCGUGAUGAAUCUGAAUCGUCCCCUGACUGAGAAGCAUGUAGCUCUGCCCACCAAGUUUCAAGGGAACCCUCUCACGCUGGUUCCGCAUUAGACGACACUCUUAAUCCAAUUUGGUCGCGAGUGUGUUUCCUCGCUCCUCCACGUCCCCUUCUGCUAAUAGCGCGUGUAACGCCCAUGCGUGUGCAUGUUUGUGUGGGCGCGCUGGUUACGUGGGCGUGUGUCAUGUCUUCGCAGUGAUUAGCUUUAGUUGUCGGGUCUCUCAGGACUCGGGCUGCGCUGUGUGUUCUGCCUGCCAAGCACAGUUAAGGCGGCACUCAAGCCCUCAGCCCUGUGCCACGGCGGUGGUGGGGGUUUAAAAAAAGAGUUUCUCCUCUGCUGCUUAGUCGUGAAAGGGGAGCAAAUCCACACACUGGCGCAGUUGUGUAGCAGCAGUCAAGGUGCAUCGCCGUAGGGCGUUUCUCACUGCAGGGCAAAGCCAAACUUUUAGCCAAGGUCAGCUUUGGAUCAAUUACAGAAAGUGGAUGAGAUCGGAUCAGAACCUCUGCAGCGCUAUGAAAUAGUUAAACCUGUGCAAAUGCUGUUCACACUGUAAACACGCUGGGCUUCGUGAAAUCAUUGCCUGGAGAACCUGUGCGUGAACUACUCAUUGGAUCCACCAUCAGAUUUAGCUUUUUAAACACUGUGUCGGUGAAAUAAAAGACCCGGGAUCGAGGCCUUAAUCCCA